This 74-nucleotide small RNA is filed under the name Hoeflea phototrophica DFL-43. RNAcentral describes it as "suhB". The record is from RNAcentral. Lineage: Bacteria; Pseudomonadati; Pseudomonadota; Alphaproteobacteria; Hyphomicrobiales; Rhizobiaceae.
GCCUGACGUCCUCCUGGACAGACGCUGACAGUUAAAAAAAGCCCGCCGGAAGGCGGGCUUUUUUAUUGCCGAUA